GUGAAUUCGGGUAUGUAAGUGGGAUGAGCCCAUACAUUUCGUUUCACCAGGAGUUAGUGAAUUCGGGUUUCUAAGUGGGAUAAGCCUAUACAUUCCGAUUCACCAGGAGUUUCGUGAAUGCUGUUCACUAGGAGGUUGAGCAGUGAUGAAGGCGGGCGGUGUUGAGCAUAGACGAUGAAGAUCCUUCGAUAGGAUAGUACUCGGAUGCGACGUGUCUCCAUACACGACGUUAUCUGCUCUUGACUCUUCCGCUGCAAUGUAAAAGUCGAGUUUGCGCUCUUUGUAUCGUGCACUCUGAUAUAUAUUAUUUGAGUUAUUUCGGUUCAA
Salvia splendens (bonfire salvia) is the source of this 327-nucleotide long non-coding RNA. RefSeq lists it as uncharacterized. Lineage: Eukaryota; Viridiplantae; Streptophyta; Magnoliopsida; Lamiales; Lamiaceae. The transcript is spliced from 2 exons. The record is from RefSeq and is a predicted model, not a curated record.